AGAUCUGGAGACGCACAUCUCCGAUCAAAUGAAUAAAUUUUCCCAGUCGCUGAUCUCCGAAAAAAAAAAGAUUGAGUGCGUUGAUUGAAGAACUGCAAACCAAGAUUGGGAAGCUACCAUUCUCAGCCAACGGGUACCUCGUGAAGAGGAUAUAUGGAAGUGACCUAACAAAGCACAUCAAAAUCGGGACCAGGGUCGUGCGUGGUACAGACUGGAAUCGUGGUGACGAGGACGGCGGUGGCCCAGGCACCGUGAUGAAGAGUUACGGGGAUACGGACAAUACGGUGUCGGUCAAUUGGGACAAUGGCUUGUCGUACUACGGCUAUCGUAUUGGUGAAGAAGGCAAAUACGAUCUGUUAAUAUUAGCAGAUGGACAAUAACUGCCCAUGUCAUCUACUAAUUAUGGACUUAUUUAGCGAGUUCUUUAUAUAGUUUGUAUCUGAUUAAGCCGUUGAUUGAACCGCACAACGUUGUAACUUAAACGGAAAUACAUUUACCUAUGCUUUAUUAAGAAUGUUUUAUCACACCUGGUCAAGAAUUGAUAAACAACCAGACAUUUGUCGAGUGAGGAAUUACCACUGAGAGCAUUCAUUCUCACAAUUUUGUAUCAAAAAGUAUUUACUAUUGGUGUAUGCUUUUUUUUUCACAAACAUUUGAAACAUUUUAUAGUUGCAAAUAAUAUUACAGCAAAUAACGUCAGCAGCUGAGACAAACAACGAGCACCGAUUGAUGAUGUCACCAUGAUUUGUACACAACAACAUUUAACACAAACUUAAAACUUCAUUUAAAAUAAUUACUUUUUCAAAAAAUAUGUCAACGAUAAUGUAAAUAUGUUAAUGAUUGAUAUUAAGUGUGGCUCUUGGAACGCCUUUAAAACUUUUUGAACUUCGGCCCGUACUGUAACUCAAAUACAUGCAUUAUGUCAUUAAUUCAAGACUUCAUUCCCUUGCUACUCUGCUGGUAGAUUUUUAGACUGGCAUUCAUGGCUGAAAACAAUGGUACGG
Long non-coding RNA from Dreissena polymorpha, 1004 nucleotides. RefSeq lists it as uncharacterized. NCBI's taxonomy places the organism in Eukaryota, Metazoa, Mollusca, Bivalvia, Myida, Dreissenidae. The record is from RefSeq and is a predicted model, not a curated record. The transcript has 3 exons.